Molecule: ribosomal RNA, 492 nt
Filed under: uncultured bacterium
Lineage: Bacteria
Description: partial 16S ribosomal RNA
Rfam family: Bacterial small subunit ribosomal RNA
Source: RNAcentral
AGUGAACGCUGGCGGUAGGCCUAACACAUGCCAGUCGAACGGCAGCACAGUAAGAGCUUGCUCUUACGGGUGGCGAGUGGCGGACGGGUGAGGAAUACAUCGGAAUCUACUUUUUCGUGGGGGAUAACGUAGGGAAACUUACGCUAAUACCGCAUACGACCUACGGGUGAAAGCAGGGGAUCUUCGGACCUUGCGCGAUUGAAUGAGCCGAUGUCGGAUUAGCUAGUUGGCGGGGUAAAGGCCCACCAAGGCGACGAUCCGUAGCUGGUCUGAGAGGAUGAUCAGCCACACUGGAGCUGAGACACGGUCCAGACUCCUACGGGAGGCAGCAGUGGGGAAUAUUGGACAAUGGGCGCAAGCCUGAUCCAGCCAUACCGCGUGGGUGAAGAAGGCCUUCGGGUUGUAAAGCCCUUUUGUUGGGAAAGAAAAGCAGCAGGUUAAUACCCCGCUGUUCUGACGGUACCCAAAGAAUAAGCACCGGCUAACUUCGUG